Molecule: long non-coding RNA, 1267 nt
Organism: Arabidopsis lyrata subsp. lyrata
Lineage: Eukaryota; Viridiplantae; Streptophyta; Magnoliopsida; Brassicales; Brassicaceae
Exons: 2
Source: RefSeq, a predicted model, not a curated record
AGACCAGGUUUUAGAAGAAAAAAAAAAAAAAAACUCAGUCAACCAAAAAAAAAGUCCUCGACUCUUUCUCUCAAAACCCUAGCAGCCGUCAAAGUUCAGUUUUCCGUUUGGCCCUCUCCGGUGGUCGGCGCUCCUCGCCGCUGCUGUGAGAGGGUGUAAAUGCUUUCCUUUUUCUGUUUUACUUGUUUUUGUUCUCGAUCUGUCUAGUUCCAUGUUUUUGAGGUGAAGGAUUUUUCUUGGCUGAGAUGGUGAAACCUUUCGACGUGCCUUCUUGGCGUGCUCGGCGGCCUGCUUCUCCGGUGAGAGUCGUUAGUGGGUCACCGUUUUAGGUAACGGUUUUAGAUUCUCUGCUCUGUACAGAUCUGGCGAUGGCUCAUGACUCUUUGGGGUUAUUGAGGUUGGUUGCUCGCAGAUCUAGGCCGUGGUAUCACUUGUGUUUCAGUCCGGUUUAUGUGUUGGUUGUGAGGCUUGUAUCGAAGGAGGUGGCCCUGUUUGUGGGUUUUAAAAUUGGAUCUUUGCUCUACCUCUCUAUUGAGUCCUCUUGCUUGUUCGUGGUUGCAAUAUGGCUGGGUUCGUUUUUGGUGUUGGCCAUUCUGAUGGUAUUUCGUUGCUGAGCCACCUACUAGCCUCUCUUCUUUGGAGAUAGGUUCUAGGCGAAGCAAUGGAAUCGUUCUCUAGCUCUUCUCUUGCGAGGACGUCGUCAGUUUUAUGUCUGUAGGUGGCUGAAGCUGUUUCGACGAGUGUCCGCGUGUAAGAGCUGUUGUUCUUAAUUGGCUUAUCUCCAGUCGAUUUUCAAGGGUUUUGCCUUGUCCAUAGUGGUGUUUGCUCUCUCUGUUUGGCUGUUGAGGUGUGAUAGUGGUUGUAUUUGUGUCUCUGGUAUCGAUGGUUUCUUGCUUUCCUCCCUGUCGGUUAUGCUUUUGGUUUGACUUCGGUGUGAGGUCUAUCCGGUUUUAUUGGUGCUUCCGACAUUCACAGUUUCUAUGUGGAAGCUUGGUGAGAGUCUAUCGUUCCUUUGUUCAAUUAUAGAGCUUAGGUUUCAAUUCUGCCUAUGCGGUUGAUCCUUUUUAGACAUUUGUCUCUUCUUGUAUUUUAUGGCUAGUCUAAAUUAGUUUCCCCGUUACGUUGGGGUUUUGCUUCCCUUUUUUGGGCUAAGUUUCUAGGGACAUCUUAGUCGUCCGCCGGCAUAUGUAAUUUCAACAUGUAUCUUACUUUGGUUCUUAAUAAAAUUCAGACGACAAAAAAAUAAAGACCAGGUUUUAGACUUUAA